Molecule: ribosomal RNA, 564 nt
Filed under: uncultured bacterium
Lineage: Bacteria
Description: partial 16S ribosomal RNA
Rfam family: Bacterial small subunit ribosomal RNA
Source: RNAcentral
UGGGAAUUUGGAUAAUGGGCGAAAGCCUGAUCCAGCAAUGCUGCGUGUGUGAAGAAGGCCUUCGGGCUGUAAAGCACUUUUGUCCGGAAAGAAAUCCUUGGCUCUAAUACAGUCGGGGGAUGACGGUACCGGAAGAAUAAGCACCGGCUAACUACGUGCCAGCAGCCGCGGUAAUACGUAGGGUGCAAGCGUUAAUCGGAAUUACUGGGCGUAAAGCGUGCGCAGGCGGUUCGCUAAGACCGAUGUGAAAUCCCCGGGCUCAACCUGGGAACUGCAUUGGUGACUGGCAGGCUAGAGUAUGGCAGAGGGGGGUAGAAUUCCACGUGUAGCAGGUGAAAUGCGUAGAGAUGUGGAGGAAUACCGAUGGCGAAGGCAGCCCCCUGGGCCAAUACUGACGCUCAUGCACGAAAGCGUGGGGAGCAAAACAGGAUUAGAUACCCCUGGUAGUCCACGCCCUAAACGAUGUCAACUAGUUGUUGGGGGAUUCAUUUCCUUAGUAACGUAGCUAACGCGUGAAGUUGACCGCCUGGGGAGUACGGUCGCAAGAUUAAAACUUAAAUGAUU